RNAcentral lists this non-coding RNA (87 nucleotides) under unclassified sequences. Its description in RNAcentral is "freshwater-2 RNA". It matches the Rfam family "freshwater-2 RNA". Rfam says of the family: Aquatic, esp. fresh water. No recognized genes The record is from RNAcentral.
CUCAACACCAAUGUUGAGACUUAUGCGGAUAACCACCGCGUACCAAGUAGAACUUGGAUUGGACUCCUAAAAAGGAGAAAACAAAUG